This 1100-nucleotide long non-coding RNA is filed under the name Cyanistes caeruleus (blue tit). RNAcentral describes it as "lncRNA (ENSCCEG00000012588.1)". The record is from RNAcentral. Lineage: Eukaryota; Metazoa; Chordata; Aves; Passeriformes; Paridae.
UUGAGACAGCACAGAAAUGCAGAGACUCUUAUGCAAGCCUGGGAAGCAGGGGGUUAACAGGAGGAAACUUACAAUGGGUUUUCAAACCUGAAAGAUUUCUCUCCAGAAAUAACUGAAAAUUGCUUUUGAUUUACAAGACCUGCUGAAAAUACUUCCCAGAGGCUGCAGAUUGGUGUAACUGUGAACAACCUUGACUAAUACUCCUAUGAAGAAUUGCAGUAAUAUCUGUGAAAAAAUGCAUGGAUUAUAUUUCCAAGUCCCAUGUUAGACAUCAGUAGCCACCACUCAGCAGUGUGCCUUCAGUAAGAUAAAGGAAGAAAAGAAAUAGAUAUAACCAUGCAAAUGUCCCUGUGCUCUGCCUCCGGCUAUAAGCUUAAGAAUUAAAAGCUUGACAACGCUGAGUUGUAGACAACACCCCUUCAGUGCUUUCUGGCUCAGUGGCUCUGUGAAGACCUCUUUGAAGGUGCAGCUUUUCAAAAAAGACUCUGCAGCAGCACAACCGAAAUGUUUGCUGCUAAAUAUAGAAAUGCACUUGCUUUGAGCGUGGCUGGUUUGCUUCAGGUUCACCUUUGGAGCUGCAUUUAUAGAUACAGUAUGGAUUUUAAGGAGGAAAAAUGAGAGGAAUAAACACAACGCUUUGGUGAGCAGAAGCAGAGACUGCAACAACCAGACCCUGCAGUGGCUCUCAAGACUGGACAUCUGCUGCUUCAGGGAAUGUCUGGUUUUCUACCUGUGCCUUCCAGGGCAGCUGUGGGGAAAUUGUGCAUCUAGGUAGAAGCAAAGCCUUGGAGGUGCAGGGGCUUCAUACCUGCUCCUGUUUUCCUGCCUUCACUCCUUAAUCAGUAGGGACACCAUGGCCCUUUCUCUGGGCAAGUCGGUUCAAGGCCAAGUUGGAUGGGGCUUUGAGCAACCUGGUCAAGUAGGUGCUGUUCUUUCCCCCCCUGGAAAUUGGAACUAGAUGAUAUUUAGGGUCCUUUUUUAACCCAAACCAUUCUGUGAUUUUAUGAUUUGUCUGCCUACAGUCAGAUAGAAAAAAAACAACAGGACCAAAGCAUAUAUCAGUCUUUAUCCUGUGGCAUAAAUAUGUUUCUUCUUCAAAC